UCAAUGCAGGUACAAAUGUAAAGUAAUGCACAUGGGCAAAAAUAACCAAAACUAGACCUACACUAGGAUGGGCUCUACAUCAGCUGUUACCACACAGAAAAGAGACCUGGGAGUCCCUGUGGACACCCGCUCAGUGCUAAGCAGCCAUCAAAAAGACAAACAACGUGUUAGGAUUUAUGAGGAAGAGAACUGUAAACAAAACAGAUGGCACUAUGAUGCCCAUUUAUAAGUCCAUGGUGUGUCCACACUUUGAAUACAUUGCCCAGGUCUGGUUCCCACACUUCCAAAAGGAUCUAGAAGAAGUAGAGAAGGCCCAGAGAAGGGGAACAAGGAUGAUGAGUGGUAUGGAGGGCCAAAAUGGGCCC
Long non-coding RNA from Gavialis gangeticus (Gharial), 365 nucleotides. RefSeq lists it as uncharacterized. NCBI's taxonomy places the organism in Eukaryota, Metazoa, Chordata, Crocodylia, Gavialidae. The record is from RefSeq and is a predicted model, not a curated record. The transcript has 3 exons.